CCUGUUGUGAUGAAUGACUUACUUUCGUUCUUCUGAUCUUGCUGAAGCAAUUUAUUUCUUCUGAUAUGG
Small nucleolar RNA from Rana temporaria (common frog), 69 nucleotides. RefSeq annotates it as small nucleolar RNA SNORD59. The transcript has a single exon. NCBI's taxonomy places the organism in Eukaryota, Metazoa, Chordata, Amphibia, Anura, Ranidae. The record is from RefSeq and is a predicted model, not a curated record.